GAUGAACGCUGGCGGCGUGCCUAAUACAUGCAAGUCGAGCGAACGGACGAGAAGCUUGCUUCUCUGAUGUUAGCGGCGGACGGGUGAGUAACACGUGGAUAACCUACCUAUAAGACUGGGAUAACUUCGGGAAACCGGAGCUAAUACCGGAUAAUAUUUUGAACCGCAUGGUUCAAAAGUGAAAGACGGUCUUGCUGUCACUUAUAGAUGGAUCCGCGCUGCAUUAGCUAGUUGGUAAGGUAACGGCUUACCAAGGCAACGAUGCAUAGCCGACCUGAGAGGGUGAUCGGCCACACGGGAACUGAGACACGGUCCAUACUCCUACGGGAGGCAGCAGUCGGGAAUCUUCCGCAAUGGUCGAAAGCCUGACGGAGCAACGCCGCGUGAGUGAUGAAGGUCUUCGGAUCGUAAAACUCUGUUAUUAGGGAAGAACAUAUUUGUAAGUAACUGUGCACAUCUUGACGGUACCUAAUCAGAAAGCCACGGCUAACUACGUG
This 497-nucleotide ribosomal RNA is filed under the name uncultured bacterium. Its description in RNAcentral is "partial 16S ribosomal RNA". It matches the Rfam family "Bacterial small subunit ribosomal RNA", at positions 28 to 507 of the family's 1533-position model. The record is from RNAcentral.